AGCUUAUCAAGAGAAGCGGAGGGAACUGGCCCGAAGAAGCUCGGCAACCUGCUUAUAGAAAGCAAGGUGCUAAAUCCAGCAAAAUGGAAUCCAUUUUGAAAGAUAAGGU
Molecule: non-coding RNA, 109 nt
Organism: Bacillus thuringiensis serovar israelensis ATCC 35646
Lineage: Bacteria; Bacillati; Bacillota; Bacilli; Caryophanales; Bacillaceae
Source: Rfam